RNAcentral lists this ribosomal RNA (425 nucleotides) under uncultured bacterium. RNAcentral describes it as "partial 16S ribosomal RNA". It matches the Rfam family "Bacterial small subunit ribosomal RNA", at positions 354 to 796 of the family's 1533-position model. The record is from RNAcentral.
GUGGGGAAUAUUGGACAAUGGGCGCAAGCCUGAUCCAGCCAUGCCGCGUGAGUGAUGAAGGUCUUAGGAUUGUAAAGCUCUUUCACCGGUGAAGAUAAUGACGGUAACCGGAGAAGAAGCCCCGGCUAACUUCGUGCCAGCAGCCGCGGUAAUACGAAGGGGGCUAGCGUUGUUCGGAAUUACUGGGCGUAAAGCGCACGUAGGUGGAUAUUUAAGUCAGGGGUGAAAUCCCAGAGCUCAACUCUGGAACUGCCUUUGAUACUGGGUAUCUUGAGUAUGGAAGAGGUGAGUGGAAUUCCGAGUGUAGAGGUGAAAUUCGUAGAUAUUCUGAGGAACACCAGUGGCGAAGGCGGCUCACUGGUCCAUUACUGACGCUGAGGUGCGAAAGCGUGGGGAGCAAACAGGAUUAGAAACCCCUGUAGUCC